Molecule: ribosomal RNA, 253 nt
Filed under: uncultured bacterium
Lineage: Bacteria
Description: partial 16S ribosomal RNA
Rfam family: Bacterial small subunit ribosomal RNA
Source: RNAcentral
UACAGAGGGUGCGAGCGUUAAUCGGAAUUACUGGGCGUAAAGCGUGCGUAGACGGUUAUCUAAGUCGGAUGUGAAAGCCCCGGGCUCAACCUGGGAAUUGCAUUCGAGACUGAAUAGCUAGGGUGCGGUAGAGGGAAGCGGAAUUUCCGGUGUAGCGGUGAAAUGCGUAGAUAUCGGAAGGAACAUCAGUGGCGAAAGCGGCUUCCUGGACCAGCACCGACGUUCAGGCACGAAAGCGUGGGGAGCAACCAGG